CCGUUUGCUCGAGGACACUCCAGCAGGACGCCACGCGUCUUAUUCUUCUUCUGUGAAGUUGUUCUUCUCUUCCUCUCUCCUCUCACUCACCCUCUUCGCCUCGGGCCGGCGGUGGGCCGAGGACCGUCUCCACCCGCACCGAAUCGAUGGUCACAGUGGCGCCGAGGCUGCUGGGAAAUAUAUGUAAAAAGUGCGGCGGUGUCGGCGUUGGAGGACUGUGGACUCAGACUUCAGAGAGAAACUCACAGUGACAAAUCAGACGGAUGAGGAGCUCGCUUCAUUACUCACGCUCCCGCAUCUCGUCGCCGCUGUAGAUCCUUCUGUUCCGCGGUGACAGAAGACAGAUAGCUUCCACGCCGCCGUGCUGCUGACCUUUGUGUGAUGUAUGAGGUCAGUGGAUCUGCUGCUGUCGGCUGUAUCACAGGCAGGACGUCUGCAGAAAAACGUCUUCAUGCAAGAGAUGGAAGUCCUGGAUGUGCAGCAGGUGUGCAGGUGUGUUGCUACAGUCACAGUGAGACGACUUCCUGUGGAUUCAGUCUGCUGACGUCACUGCAGAGAGCGCAGCGCUCAAACUGGAAUAUUACAGAAAUCAUUUAUGAGCUGUUAGAGAGCGACACUGUGUGUGUGUGUGUGUGUGUGUGCAGUGUGUGUGUGUGUGUGCAGUGUGUGUUCAGUGUGUGUUCAGUGUGUGUUCAGUGUGUGUUCAGUGUGUGUGCAGUGUGUGUUCAG
Acanthopagrus latus (yellowfin seabream) is the source of this 729-nucleotide long non-coding RNA. RefSeq lists it as uncharacterized. The transcript is spliced from 3 exons. The record is from RefSeq and is a predicted model, not a curated record. Lineage: Eukaryota; Metazoa; Chordata; Actinopteri; Spariformes; Sparidae.